GUGUUCCUUUAACAUCUACUGGCUUUGCCCUUCAGUCCUAAGAGUAGAACCUAGGACCUCAGGUGUAGCAGCAGAUACAGAAGACCAGCUGAGAUAUCUAGCCUUGUGGGACAGAGCAACUACUGGGUUCCCGGACUUCCCAGUCACAGCUGCCCAUUACUGGAUUAGCUGGACCACAGCCUGUAAGUUAUUCUAAUAAAUUCCAUAUAUGUAUAUAUAUAUUCAUUCUAUAAGUUCUGUGACUCUACUGAACCCUGAGUAAAACAGAAUAUUACUUACCAUUUGCAGUAUGUAGCAAUUUGAUGUGCCGUUUUGUACAUCUGCUGUUGAGAUUUUUCAGAACUACUGCAGCGUAUUUCACAAGUCUCAGUUGCUGUGAUCUGUAUUUGUAAACUAUGGGCUUUCAGUCCAGAGUGCUCAUAUAUAGUGUGUCUGAAGACUUUCUAAAUGAAUCAUGUAUUUGAUUCAGUAGAUAGUACUAGUCUCAUCUUUAUCUUACAAACCCAAAAAUGGGGGGCUUUGAACAUUGUUCAAGAUCCAAUUCUAGUAAGCAGGAGAGACAGAAGAGUUUGAAUUCAAGCCAUCUACUCUAGGUAAUGAUCACCUUGGGGGCUAUCCUGAUUGAUUGAUUGAUUGAUUGAUUGAUUGACUUAGGUUUUUGAAGACAGGGUUUGUCACUGUAUAUCCCUGGCUGUCCUGGAACUCAUUGAUUAGCUCUGUCUGAUGUAAUGUCCUUUCAAUUAUCAACUAAAACCUUGGGAAUGCAGCUACCUAGCAAGAAAACAGCUUUCCCCCACCAGAGAGCUA
This 807-nucleotide long non-coding RNA is filed under the name Rattus norvegicus (Norway rat). RNAcentral's name for it is "long non-coding RNA NONRATT007203". The record is from RNAcentral. Lineage: Eukaryota; Metazoa; Chordata; Mammalia; Rodentia; Muridae.